CGUCUCUAGCAAACAUCACAUACAUUAGAGAUACUGCCUGCCCAGUGAUAUUGAUUCAACGGCCGCGGUAUUCUGACCGUGCAAAGGUAGCGUAAUCACUUGUCUUUUAAAUAAGGACUAGUAUGAACGGCAAAACGAGGACUUAACUGUCUCCUUUAUCCUAUCAGUGAAAUUGAUCUUUCCGUACAAAAGCGGAAAUAACACCACAAGACGAGAAGACCCCAUGGAGCUUCAAACACGCAGUCAACUACAUUACACAAUUUACCAAAAAAACAUGAAGACCUGACUCCCUGUUUUCGGUUGGGGCGACCACGGAGCAAUAUUAAUCCUCCGAGAUGAUAACCACCUAAACUAAGGAAUACACCCCAAAGUAUCAGAAAUUCUGACACAAUUGACCCAAACCCUUGAUCAACGAACCAAGUUACCCUGGGGAUAACAGCGCCAUCCUUUCAAAGAGUCCCCAUCAACGAAAGGGUUUACGACCUCGAUGUUGGAUCAGGAUACCCCAGUGGUGCAACAGCCACUAAAGGUUCGUUUGUUCAACGAUUAAUAAUCCU
This 557-nucleotide ribosomal RNA is filed under the name Epicrionops sp. KR-2007. RNAcentral describes it as "partial 16S ribosomal RNA". It matches the Rfam family "Bacterial large subunit ribosomal RNA", at positions 1816 to 2597 of the family's 2925-position model. The record is from RNAcentral. Lineage: Eukaryota; Metazoa; Chordata; Amphibia; Gymnophiona; Rhinatrematidae.